GGAAGAUAAUUAGUGUUAUUGUAAUGAAGGAUGAUUAUGGGAAAUCUCGGGGCUUUGGUUUGUUAGCUUCGAGUUGUCAAAAGAAGCUAAGAAGGCUAUGUAGGCCAUGAAUGGUGCACAACUGGGAUCAAAGAAUCUCCAUGUAGGAAGGGCUCAAAAGAAGGCUGAACGAGAGUAGAUGCUAAGUUGCCAGUUCAACGGUUUGAACGUGUACGUGAAAAAACCUCGUUGACUUUGUUGAUGA
Molecule: long non-coding RNA, 244 nt
Organism: Magnolia sinica
Lineage: Eukaryota; Viridiplantae; Streptophyta; Magnoliopsida; Magnoliales; Magnoliaceae
Exons: 3
Source: RefSeq, a predicted model, not a curated record